UCAAUACUCGUGAUUAAAAUUCUUACUUUCACGCAAGUAGGAAAAAUAUUCUCAUUAAAACAAUUGAAAUACACCGAUGAGAAUCAGUGAUAUUUAAUUAAGAAACAGCGCAAAAUCGAAAAGUGGUGUGUACCUUUUGGAAAAAAGAUUCGAAGCGAUGAAAUCAUGAAGCGGUGAACACGAAUGAAUCUACAUUAUCGAGAACGUGUAUCCUGCGAUGCGAAACUCUGACAGUGUGCAAUAAUCGCUUAACUGCGAUGAUUACCCGUCAUAAUGGGCCGCUAAUUGAUAGGCGGUUCGUAGGAAAGGGAUUUCUAAAGAAAGCCUGUGGUCGUGAACCCAUCUUUUUCUUCUCUUUUUUAGUCGCAGUACACCGAUUUCUUCCUCGUAUCCCCACUUCUUUCGCAUAAAAUAUCGCGAAAUCCAAUCGAUUUCCUUUUCCUCGCGAAAUAUGCACUUUGGAAAUAUAUGUUUCUACGAGGUGGCCCAAUUCUUCGACCUCGGCUCGAAAGUAAAAUUGAAAUAGAUAUGCAUGAUGCGUUUGCAUGGAUGGAUUUCGAUGGAUGGUUAAUGGCACGGAAAGGAUAACCAUUCUCUAUUCCAGCAGGAGAGAAAAUUGUAUAAUUUUCAUCAUCAAACUUUAUUAUAUAAUGAGAUUAAUUUCUGUGAAAUAUAAAUAAAUAAGAAUCAGAAUUGGAUGGUGAAGAAUGGAUGUGCAGAGUGAGAAAUGAAAAAUUUCAAGAGAUACGUUAAUUUCGUUUUAAGAAACAGUACAGCAUUAUGCGAUUUAUACGUAUUUAAAAUAAAUAUGUUGAACUUAUAUAAACGAAUCUAAAUGGAAUAAUCUGAAUGCGAGUGAAGAAACGAAUAUUCAAACGCAAAAACACGAAGUAGUGACUAACUUUCUCGUGAAGCUAAUGCUCGAUCAAAUGAUAGCAUUGAAUGGAAGAGCGAGCGUUUAUUCGAUCCAGUGUUGAAUUGCAACCAGAAGCUGGUCGGUAGCCAUUCCUUUCAUUACGUUCACCGAUAUUCUAGAAAGUUGUCACUUGGAGGAGGCCUUCUCUCUUUCGCCCAGUCAGAAAAUGUUGAACCUCGUCAGAAACUUGAUGCAACUAACGUUUCUUGCACGAUAAUGGUUUCCUGCUGACUGAUCACAAAUUAAAUUCUCGAAAGUAUCGCGAGAGGCAACUUCCUUCCUAUCACUAAUCACGUAUUUCACGUUUUCAUAAUAUAUUUCUACAAUAUGUACUUCGUAAUCCAAUUUUAAAUGUUCGGACUUGACAAAUUGAAUUUGCUAAUUUAAUUGAAUUUGUCGUUAUGCAUCAGUGAUAGGCAAAAUUUUAAUAACAAUUACUCGAACAAUUUGUUAUUCAAAGUAUUAUUCAAAUAACCAUAAUUAAUUGUGAUAGCAACAAAGGAAUACUAUUCGAGUAUUUUAAAUAUUACUUAAAGUAACCAAUUUCGAACAUGAUGGAUAAAGAUGGCUCGUUAAUAUGCCUACGUUAAUUUUUUUUAAUUCAAAUGUAAUUUGAAAAAGUACUUAAGCGAAGAAUCCAUUCGAAUCAUAAAUUGAUACAAAAUAUAUUUUAUUAUUUAAUGUAAAAGCAAGAUGCAAAAUGUUAACAAGUAAUCUAAAAAUAUGGAAAAAAAGCUCGUUUCAUAUUUUUCAUCAUUUUUCUUCAAUUAUUGCCUUUCUCCAUAAUUGGAUAGCGUAGAAAUAGUAGAAAUCGUUCGACUUUCAGUAAUCGGUCAAUUGAGAUGAGCUAAUAUACAUGUAUUAGUACUAUGCAAAGUUUCUUGUAAUAUAACUGAAAAAGAUAAGGAAAGAUAAG
Long non-coding RNA from Apis florea (little honeybee), 1832 nucleotides. The record is from RefSeq and is a predicted model, not a curated record. NCBI's taxonomy places the organism in Eukaryota, Metazoa, Arthropoda, Insecta, Hymenoptera, Apidae.